ACGCUGGCGGCGUGCUUAACACAUGCAAGUCGAACGGAAAGGCCCUGCUUUUGUGGGGUGCUCGAGUGGCGAACGGGUGAGUAACACGUGAGUAACCUGCCCUUGACUUUGGGAUAACUUCAGGAAACUGGGGCUAAUACCGGAUAGGAGCUCCUGCUGCAUGGUGGGGGUUGGAAAGUUUCGGCGGUUGGGGAUGGACUCGCGGCUUAUCAGCUUGUUGGUGGGGUAGUGGCUUACCAAGGCUUUGACGGGUAGCCGGCCUGAGAGGGUGACCGGCCACAUUGGGACUGAGAUACGGCCCAGACUCCUACGGGAGGCAGCAGUGGGGAAUAUUGCACAAUGGGCGGAAGCCUGAUGCAGCAACGCCGCGUGCGGGAUGACGGCCCUCGGGUUGUAGACCGCUUUCGCCUGUGACGAAGCGUGAGUGACGGUAAUGGGUAAAGAAGCACCGGCUAACUACGUG
Molecule: ribosomal RNA, 463 nt
Filed under: uncultured bacterium
Lineage: Bacteria
Description: bacterial SSU rRNA
Rfam family: Bacterial small subunit ribosomal RNA
Source: RNAcentral